UACGAAGGGGGCUAGCGUUGUUCGGAAUUACUGGGCGUAAAGCGUGCGCAGGCGGUUUUGUAAGACUGUCGUGAAAUCCCCGGGCUUAACCUGGGAAUGGCGAUGGUGACUGCAAGGCUAGAGUUUGGCAGAGGGGGGUAGAAUUCCACGUGUAGCAGUGAAAUGCGUAGAUAUGUGGAGGAACACCGAUGGCGAAGGCAGCCCCCUGGGUCAAAACUGACGCUCAUGCACGAAAGCGUGGGGAGCAAACAGG
RNAcentral lists this ribosomal RNA (253 nucleotides) under uncultured bacterium. RNAcentral's name for it is "partial 16S ribosomal RNA". It matches the Rfam family "Bacterial small subunit ribosomal RNA", at positions 524 to 776 of the family's 1533-position model. The record is from RNAcentral.